This 253-nucleotide ribosomal RNA is filed under the name uncultured bacterium. Its description in RNAcentral is "partial 16S ribosomal RNA". It matches the Rfam family "Bacterial small subunit ribosomal RNA", at positions 524 to 776 of the family's 1533-position model. The record is from RNAcentral.
UACGUAGGGUGCGAGCGUUGUCCGGAAUUAUUGGGCGUAAAGGGCUCGUAGGCGGUUUGUCGCGUCGGGAGUGAAAUCCACUGGCUUAACUGGUGGCUUGCUUUCGAUACGGGCAGACUGGAGGUAUGCAGGGGAGAACGGAAUUCCUGGUGUAGCGGUGAAAUGCGCAGAUAUCAGGAGGAACACCUAUUGCGAAGGCAGCUCGCUUGGACGUAACUGACGCUGAGACGCGAAAGCGUGGGGAGCAAACAGG